GAAAAGAACCCCGGGAGGGGAGUGAAAUAGAACCUGAAACCCUGCACUUACAAGCUGUGGAAGCACAUUUCUUGUGUGACCGCGUACUUUUUGUAGAACGGGCCAACGAGUUACGUUAAGUAGCAAGGUUAAGCACUUAAGGUGCGGAGCCGUAGCGAAAGCGAGUUUUAACUGAGCGUUCAGUUACUUGACGUAGACCCGAAACCGGGCGACCUACCCAUGAGCAGGAUGAAGCGAAAGUAAAAUUUCGUGGAGGUCCGAACCCACGAGCGUUGAAAAGCUCGGGGAUGACUUGUGGGUAGCGGUGAAAUUCCAAUCGAGCCCGGAGAUAGCUGGUUCUCCCCGAAAUAGCUUUAGGGCUAGCCUCAAGGUGAGAGAUACGGAGGUAGAGCACUGAAUGUCCUAGGGGGUAUUGCACCUACCGAAGACUAUCAAACUCCGAAUGCCGUCAUCUUAUACUUGGGAGUCAGACUGUGGGUGAUAAGAUUCAUAGUCGAAAGGGCAACAGCCCAGAUCGUCAGCUAAGGUCCCUAAAUGUAAGUUAAGUGGUAAAGGAUGUGGGAUUGCACAGACAACCAGGAUGUUGGCUUAGAAGCAGCCACUCAUUCAAAGAGUGCGUAAUAGCUCACUGGUCGAGUGAUCCUGCGCCGAAGAUUUCCGGGGCUAAAACUUACUACCGAAGCUACGGCAUCAGUAAUGAUGGGUAGGGGAGCUUCCCAUACGGGUUGAAGCAUGACCGUAAGGACAUGUGGACAGUAUGGGAGUGAGAAUGUUGGCAUGAGUAGCGAGAUGUGGGUGAGAAUCCCACAGGCCGUAAACCCAAGGUUUCCAGGGGAAGGUUCGUCCGCCCUGGGUUAGUCGGGACCUAAGCUGAGGCCGAAAGGCGUAGGUGAUGGACAACAGGUUGAUAUUCCUGUACUACCGAUAACCGUUUGAGAGAAGGGAUGACACAGUAGGAUAAGCUAAGCACACUGUUGGUUAUGUGUGCCCAAGCAUUGAGGCAGUCAAAGUAGGCAAAUCCGCUUUGAUAAUGCUGGGAUGUGAUGGGGAGCGAAAUUUAGUAGCGAAGUAGCUGAUUUCACACUGUCAAGAAAAGUCUCUAUCGAGGUUAAAGGUACCCGUACCGCAAACCGACACAGGUGGGUGAGGAGAGUAUCCUAAGGCCAGCGAGAGAACUGUUGUUAAGGAACUCGGCAAAAUGACCCCGUAACUUAGGGAUAAGGGGUGCCACCAUCAGGUGGCCGCAGAGAAUAGGCCCAAGCGACUGUUUACCAAAAACAUAGGUUUCUGCUAAGUCGCAAGACGAUGUAUAGGAGCUGACGCCUGCCCGGUGCUGGAAGGUUAAGGGGAUCUGUUAGAGCAAUCGAAGCAGUGAACUUAAGCCCCAGUAAACGGCGGCCGUAACUAUAACGGUCCUAAGGUAGCGAAAUUCCUUGUCGGGUAAGUUCCGACCCGCACGAAAGGCGUAACGAUUUGGGCACUGUCUCAACAACAGACUCGGUGAAAUUGUAAUUCCGGUGAAGAUGCCGGAUACCUGCGACAGGACGGAAAGACCCCAUGGAGCUUUACUGUAGCUUGACAUUGGGUCUUGGUACUACAUGUACAGGAUAGGUGGGAGGCUUUGAAACCAGGACGCCAGUUUUGGCGGAGCCAUCCUUGGGAUACCACCCUUGUAGUACUGGGACUCUAACCAUAGGCCAUGAAUCUGGUCUUGGGACACUGUCAGGUGGGCAGUUUGACUGGGGCGGUCGCCUCCCAAAAGG
RNAcentral lists this ribosomal RNA (1763 nucleotides) under Clostridioides difficile. Its description in RNAcentral is "partial 23S ribosomal RNA". It matches the Rfam family "Bacterial large subunit ribosomal RNA", at positions 516 to 2297 of the family's 2925-position model. Lineage: Bacteria; Bacillati; Bacillota; Clostridia; Peptostreptococcales; Peptostreptococcaceae. The record is from RNAcentral.